RNAcentral lists this long non-coding RNA (303 nucleotides) under Carica papaya (papaya). RNAcentral describes it as "long non-coding RNA (CPAP_LNC008488)". Lineage: Eukaryota; Viridiplantae; Streptophyta; Magnoliopsida; Brassicales; Caricaceae. The record is from RNAcentral.
UAACAACCAAUUAUUCUCCACCGGCAGCAUACUCAACAUCAUCAUCACAAAUCUUCUAAAGGUGGCAUAUUAUCACAAUCAGAAUCAGAUUCAACAUCCCCAUUGUCCCUAAUAAACAUGACCACCUUAUUUGGACAUUGUGAAGCAAUAUGUCCCACUCCCAAACAUCUAAAACAUUUAAUAUUUCUAUAUUUAUUAGUAGAUGUGAGAUCAGAAGUACCUUUAAUAGAUGAUGGGGUACCUCUACCUUUGCCUUUGUUGAAAUCUGUAGCCUUCUCCUUGUAACCAAAAUUCUUAUCCUCU